This 497-nucleotide ribosomal RNA is filed under the name uncultured bacterium. Its description in RNAcentral is "partial 16S ribosomal RNA". It matches the Rfam family "Bacterial small subunit ribosomal RNA", at positions 28 to 507 of the family's 1533-position model. The record is from RNAcentral.
GAUGAACGCUGGCGGCGUGCCUAAUACAUGCAAGUCGAGCGAACAGACGAGGAGCUUGCUCCUCUGACGUUAGCGGCGGACGGGUGAGUAACACGUGGAUAACCUACCUAUAAGACUGGGAUAACUUCGGGAAACCGGAGCUAAUACCGGAUAAUAUAUUGAACCGCAUGGUUCAAUAGUGAAAGACGGUUUUGCUGUCACUUAUAGAUGGAUCCGCGCCGCAUUAGCUAGUUGGUAAGGUAACGGCUUACCAAGGCAACGAUGCGUAGCCGACCUGAGAGGGUGAUCGGCCACACUGGAACUGAGACACGGUCCAGACUCCUACGGGAGGCAGCAGUAGGGAAUCUUCCGCAAAGGGCGAAAGCCUGACGGAGCAACGCCGCGUGAGUGAUGAAGGUCUUCGGAUCGUAAAACUCUGUUAUUAGGGAAGAACAAAUGUGUAAGUAACUAUGCACGUCUUGACGGUACCUAAUCAGAUAGCCACGGCUAACUACGUG